GACGAACGCUGGCGGCGUGCUUAACACAUGCAAGUCGAACGGAAAGGCCCUGCUUUUGUGGGGUGCUCGAGUGGCGAACGGGUGAGUAACACGUGAGUAACCUGCCCUUGACUUUGGGAUAACUUCAGGAAACUGGGGCUAAUACCGGAUAGGAGCUCCUGCUGCAUGGUGGGGGUUGGAAAGUUUCGGCGGUUGGGGAUGGACUCGCGGCUUAUCAGCUUGUUGGUGGGGUAGUGGCUUACCAAGGCUUUGACGGGUAGCCGGCCUGAGAGGGUGACCGGCCACAUUGGGACUGAGAUACGGACCAGACUCCUACGGGAGGCAGCAGUGGGGAACAUUGCACAAUGGGCGGAAGCCUGAUGCAGCAACGCCGCGUGCGGGAUGACGGCCUUCGGGUUGUAAACCGCUUUCGCCUGUGACGAAGCGUGAGUGACGGUAAUGGGCAAAGAAGCACCGGCUAACUACGUG
This 468-nucleotide ribosomal RNA is filed under the name uncultured bacterium. RNAcentral describes it as "partial 16S ribosomal RNA". It matches the Rfam family "Bacterial small subunit ribosomal RNA", at positions 28 to 507 of the family's 1533-position model. The record is from RNAcentral.